Molecule: long non-coding RNA, 218 nt
Filed under: Mustela putorius furo (domestic ferret)
Lineage: Eukaryota; Metazoa; Chordata; Mammalia; Carnivora; Mustelidae
Description: lncRNA (ENSMPUG00000024884.1)
Source: RNAcentral
UUAUCAGGUGCUUUUGAAAUGUGUAUCAAUUCUAUCUGCUUGUCUUUGUGCAGAGUGUGUGGACGCACUUGGGUUGCUCUGGUGGUCACUUUGGUUUGAAGAUUACCAUGUUUCUUUGCUACCGCAAUAAUCGUGCCACAAUGUGCCAGCAUGAAACACCAGAGCCAAUACUAACAAGGUACAUUUGAGAUACAAAUUGAAUGAGAACUAAAUAUUGA